Molecule: ribosomal RNA, 496 nt
Filed under: Ganoderma multiplicatum
Lineage: Eukaryota; Fungi; Basidiomycota; Agaricomycetes; Polyporales; Polyporaceae
Description: SSU rRNA
Rfam family: Bacterial small subunit ribosomal RNA
Source: RNAcentral
UCAUAGAAUUUAUUCAAAUUCAUGAUGUCGUAAGGGAAAAUAAUGAUAAUACCUUACUAUGAGUGUCGUCCAAAUCUGGUGCCAGAAGACUCGGUAAGACCAGAGACGCAAACGUUAAUCAUCAUAAACAGGCGUAAAGGGUUUGUAGGCAGCUUUUAUAAGAUAAUAAUAUCUAAAUUGAAAGCUAGAAUCAAAAAGAGGUUAUAGUGUAUAACGCCUAGAGGAGGGCUGAUAUCCAUAGAUCCUAGGCAGAAUACUCAGGGCGAAGGCCACUCUCCACUAAUGAUUGACGCUGAGAAACGAAGGUUAGGGUAGGAAAUAGGAUUAGAUACCCCGGUACUCCUUUCUGUAAACGAUGAAUGGUAGUCAUUAGUUUUAAUAAAUCACUAGAGGCGAAGUUAACACAAUAACCAUUCCGCCUUGUGAGUACUACUGCAAAGUAGAAAACAAAAAAAUUAGUCGGUCUCGAAGCAAACGGAGUGAAGCAUGUUAUUUA